AGUGGCGAACGGGUGAGUAAUAUAUCGGAACGUGCCCUAGAGUGGGGGAUAACUAGUCGAAAGAUUAGCUAAUACCGCAUACGAUCUACGGAGAAAGUGGGGGAUCGCAAGACCUCAUGCUCCUGGAGCGGCCGAUAUCUGAUUAGCUAGUUGGUGGGGUAAAAGCCUACCAAGGCAACGAUCAGUAGCUGGUCUGAGAGGACGACCAGCCACACUGGGACUGAGACACGGCCCAGACUCCUACGGGAGGCAGCAGUGGGGAAUUUUGGACAAUGGGGGCAGCCCUGAUCCAGCAAUGCCGCGUGAGUGAAGAAGGCCUUCGGGUUGUAAAGCUCUUUUGUCAGGGAAGAAACGGUGGUAGCUAAUAUCUACUACUAAUGACGGUACCUGAAGAAUAAGCACCGGCUAACUACGUGCCAGCAGCCGCGGUAAUACGUAGGGUGCAAGCGUUAAUCGGAAUUACUGGGCGUAAAGCGUGCGCAGGCGGUUGUGUAAGACAGAUGUGAAAUCCCCGGGCUCAACCUGGGAAUUGCAUUUGUGACUGCACGGCUAGAGUGUGUCAGAGGGGGGUAGAAUUCCACGUGUAGCAGUGAAAUGCGUAGAUAUGUGGAGGAAUACCGAUGGCGAAGGCAGCCCCCUGGGAUAACACUGACGCUCAUGCACGAAAGCGUGGGGAGCAAACAGGAUCAGAUACCCUGGUAGUCCACGCCCUAAACGAUGUCUACUAGUUGUCGGGUCUUAAUUGACUUGGUAACGCAGCUAACGCGUGAAGUAGACCGCCUGGGGAGUACGGUCGCAAGAUUAAAACUCAAAGGAAUUGACGAGGACCCGCACAAGCGGUGGAUGAUGUGGAUUAAUUCGAUGCAACGCGAAAAACCUUACCUACCCUUGACAUGGAUGGAAUCCCGAAGAGAUUUGGGAGUGCUCGAAAGAGAACCAUCACACAGGUGCUGCAUGGCUGUCGUCAGCUCGUGUCGUGAGAUGUUGGGUUAAGUCCCGCAACGAGCGCAACCCUUAUCAUUAGUUGCUACGAAAGGGCACUCUAAUGAGACUGCCGGUGACAAACCGGAGGAAGGUGGGGAUGACGUCAAGUCCUCAUGGCCCUUAUGGGUAGGGCUUCACACGUCAUACAAUGGUACAUACAGAGGGCCGCCAACCCGCGAGGGGGAGCUAAUCCCAGAAAGUGUAUCGUAGUCCGGAUUGGAGUCUGCAACUCGACUCCAUGAAGUUGGAAUCGCUAGUAAUCGCGGAUCAGCAUGUCGCGGUGAAUACGUUCCCGGGUCUUGUACACACCGCCCGUCA
RNAcentral lists this ribosomal RNA (1302 nucleotides) under uncultured Herbaspirillum sp. Its description in RNAcentral is "bacterial SSU rRNA". It matches the Rfam family "Bacterial small subunit ribosomal RNA", at positions 94 to 1399 of the family's 1533-position model. Lineage: Bacteria; Pseudomonadati; Pseudomonadota; Betaproteobacteria; Burkholderiales; Oxalobacteraceae. The record is from RNAcentral.